UACGAAGGGGGCUAGCGUUGCUCGGAAUCACUGGGCGUAAAGCGCGCGUAGGCGGCUUUCUAAGUCAGGGGUGAAAUCCUGGAGCUCAACUCCAGAACUGCCUUUGAUACUGGAGAGCUUGAGUCCGGAAGAGGUGAGUGGAACUCCGAGUGUAGAGGUGAAAUUCGUAGAUAUUCGGAAGAACACCAGUGGCGAAGGCGGCUCACUGGGCCGGUACUGACGCUGAGGUGCGAAAGCGUGGGGAGCAAACAGG
This 253-nucleotide ribosomal RNA is filed under the name uncultured bacterium. RNAcentral's name for it is "partial 16S ribosomal RNA". It matches the Rfam family "Bacterial small subunit ribosomal RNA", at positions 524 to 776 of the family's 1533-position model. The record is from RNAcentral.